This 72-nucleotide transfer RNA is filed under the name Mus musculus (house mouse). It matches the Rfam family "tRNA". From Rfam's summary of the family: Transfer RNA (tRNA) molecules are approximately 80 nucleotides in length. The record is from Rfam by way of RNAcentral. RNAcentral also lists the same sequence under 1 other name. Lineage: Eukaryota; Metazoa; Chordata; Mammalia; Rodentia; Muridae.
UGGGGUGUGGUCAGUUGGCAGAGUGCUUGCCUAGCAUGCAGGAGACCCUGGGUUCUAUCCCCAGCACCACAU